UGGGGAAUAUUGGACAAUGGAGGAAACUCUGAUCCAGCAAUUCUGUGUGUGUGAAGAAGGUUUUAGGACUGUAAAACACUUUUAGUAGGGAAGAAAAAAAUGACGGUACCUACAGAAGAAGCAACGGCUAAAUACGUGCCAGCAGCCGCGGUAAUACGUAUGUUGCGAGCGUUAUCCGGAAUUAUUGGGCUUAAAGGGCAUCUAGGCGGUAAGACAAGUUGAAGGUGAAAACCUGUGGCUCAACCAUAGGCUUGCCUACAAAACUGUUGAACUAGAGUACUGGAAAGGUGGGUGGAACUAAACGAGUAGAGGUGAAAUUCGUAGAUAUGUGUAGGAAUGCCGAUGAUGAAGAUAACUCACUGGACAGAAACUGACGCUGAAGUGCGAAAGCUAGGGGAGCAAACAGG
RNAcentral lists this ribosomal RNA (407 nucleotides) under Verrucomicrobiota bacterium. RNAcentral describes it as "Verrucomicrobia bacterium partial 16S ribosomal RNA". It matches the Rfam family "Bacterial small subunit ribosomal RNA", at positions 355 to 776 of the family's 1533-position model. Lineage: Bacteria; Pseudomonadati; Verrucomicrobiota. The record is from RNAcentral.